GUCGAACGCUUCUUUUUCCACCGGAGCUUGCUCCACCGGAAAAAGAGGAGUGGCGAACGGGUGAGUAACACGUGGGUAACCUGCCCAUCAGAAGGGGAUAACACUUGGAAACAGGUGCUAAUACCGUAUAACAAUCAAAACCGCAUGGUUUUGAUUUGAAAGGCGCUUUCGGGUGUCGCUGAUGGAUGGACCCGCGGUGCAUUAGCUAGUUGGUGAGGUAACGGCUCACCAAGGCCACGAUGCAUAGCCGACCUGAGAGGGUGAUCGGCCACAUUGGGACUGAGACACGGCCCAAACUCCUACGGGAGGCAGCAGUAGGGAAUCUUCGGCAAUGGACGAAAGUCUGACCGAGCAACGCCGCGUGAGUGAAGAAGGUUUUCGGAUCGUAAAACUCUGUUGUUAGAGAAGAACAAGGAUGAGAGUAACUGUUCAUCCCUUGACGGUAUCUAACCAGAAAGCCACGGCUAACUACGUGCCAGCAGCCGCGGUAAUACGUAGGUGGCAAGCGUUGUCCGGAUUUAUUGGGCGUAAAGCGAGCGCAGGCGGUUUCUUAAGUCUGAUGUGAAAGCCCCCGGCUCAACCGGGGAGGGUCAUUGGAAACUGGGAGACUUGAGUGCAGAAGAGGAGAGUGGAAUUCCAUGUGUAGCGGUGAAAUGCGUAGAUAUAUGGAGGAACACCAGUGGCGAAGGCGGCUCUCUGGUCUGUAACUGACGCUGAGGCUCGAAAGCGUGGGGAGCAAACAGGAUUAGAUACCCUGGUAGUCCACGCCGUAAACGAUGAGUGCUAAGUGUUGGAGGGUUUCCGCCCUUCAGUGCUGCAGCUAACGCAUUAAGCACUCCGCCUGGGGAGUACGACCGCAAGGUUGAAACUCCAAGGAAUUGACGGGGGCCCGCACAAGCG
Molecule: ribosomal RNA, 900 nt
Filed under: Enterococcus faecium
Lineage: Bacteria; Bacillati; Bacillota; Bacilli; Lactobacillales; Enterococcaceae
Description: bacterial SSU rRNA
Rfam family: Bacterial small subunit ribosomal RNA
Source: RNAcentral